AUACGUAGGGAGCGAGCGUUGUCCGGAAUUACUGGGUGUAAAGAGCUCGUAGGUGGUUUGUCGCGUCGUCUGUGAAAUUCCGGGGCUUAACUCCGGGCGUGCAGGCGAUACGGGCAUAACUUGAGUACUGUAGGGGAGACUGGAAUUCCUGGGGUAGCGGUGAAAUGCGCAGAUAUCAGGAGGAACACCGGUGGCGAAGGCGGGUGUUUGGGUAGUAACGGACGGUGAGGGGAGAAAGUAUGGGUGGCGACAAGGAUUAGAUACCCUGGUAGUCCAUGCCGUAAACGGUGGGCGCAAGGUGUAGGGGUCUUCCACGGCUUCUGUGCCGUAGCUAACGCAUUAAGCGCCCCGCCUGGGGAGUACGGCCGCAAGGCUAAAACUCAAAUGAAUUGACGGGG
RNAcentral lists this ribosomal RNA (398 nucleotides) under uncultured bacterium. RNAcentral describes it as "partial 16S ribosomal RNA". It matches the Rfam family "Bacterial small subunit ribosomal RNA", at positions 523 to 918 of the family's 1533-position model. The record is from RNAcentral.